This 2609-nucleotide long non-coding RNA is filed under the name Macaca mulatta (Rhesus monkey). RNAcentral's name for it is "lncRNA (ENSMMUG00000051550.1)". The record is from RNAcentral. Lineage: Eukaryota; Metazoa; Chordata; Mammalia; Primates; Cercopithecidae.
ACUCGCGCUCUGGGCGACCACGGCGCCGGGACCAGGGACCUGCCGAGCUGGCCACCGGCCGUGGGGCAAAGGCAGGACCUCCGGCCCUCCGCCUCCGGCGGCGCUGCUUCAAACCCGGCCCCAGUGUGGACUUGCCGCGGGCGGGGAGACGGGCAGCGGAGGCUGGCGGCGACCCCGGAGCCGGUACCUACGCGAGGGCCGGGCUCCCUCCCGCUCCACGCGCGGCGCGGGACAGGGCCGAGCCGGGCCGGGCGGGAAGAUGGUCCGGGUGUGUCUGGACGUAGGUUCCUAUUGUGUUACAUCGAGAGGAGAAAAAGGAGUAGCACCAUCUUUAAAACCACUUAGCCACCACUAAUAGCCAACUUUUAUUUCAACUUCCUAAAAUAAUAGAUACAAAGCAAUUUACAUUAACCCUGGGAGAGAUGGAGCUUAAUAUCUCUCCCCUGGAAGGUGCGCUGGCCUUAGUGAGUCACUUGAAACAAACGGAAUAUGCCAGAAGUGACCAUCUGGGAAAGAGUUCUUUAUCACAAAUUAUGCGGGAGGACAUUAUCCCAAUGCUUAAAUGUUAGAACCAGAUUCAAAUGAAAGAGAACACGCCCAGAAGUAUGUUGCCUGCUAUUCUGGAAACUGAAGAACAUAAUUAAUAAAAUUAGAGAAAAAUAAAUAUUCAAGUGACACAGGCUUUGUUGAAUUAGAAUGAGAACUUUAAAUGGGAAGUUUGGCACUGAGGAAGCAUCAUUGGGAGACGGCUGAAUACCUGCCAACCUCUGUUUGCACUCUGUCAGUAUCAGAAUUUUUGACAAGGAAACAGAUUGCUUUGUCUUUACUUGCAAUAAUAUAAUUUUAACCUUCAAGUCUUCUUUAGUGAAAAAAAAUUAUUUUUGCUCAAUGAAAACAAUAUGUGUAAUUAUUUUUUUCUACAUUGUUUAUCUCCAUCUCCAAAUAAAUGCCUGUUGGAUCCAAACCCUAAUACUCAGAAGGGGUACAGAGUAGGUAAAUCACCAUUAUUUAUAUAUGAGAUUAUGAGAUCCUUAAGAAAAUGGGCUGUAAGUUGUUCACCUUGUGAUUGCCCAUGACUAGCACAGUGUCUGGGAUUGUGUGGCUCACUAUUAAAGUGGGGGGAAAUAGGAGGUCCUAAUUGUACAGAAAGAGAUAUGAUUUUCGUAACCAAUAGGUUCUUUAGAUGUAAAAUGAAGUAACAACUGACACCAAUAGGUAUAGAACACAGCUAUAAGUAGCCCAUAGGCAUAGAAUUGGAAGCCUAAGUCAGCAUCUACUAUGUGUCGUACACUGUACGAUGUCUAGAUACUUUAGAUCCUUCUCCUUUAGAGAAAGAGAAGAAAUAUAACAGAGUUAGUGGCCUGGCGCAGUGGCUCUCGCCUGUAAUCCCUGCACUUUGGGAGGCCCAGGUGGGAGGAUCACGAGGUCAGGAGAUCGAGACCACCUUGGCUAACAUGAUGAAACCCCGUCUCUACUAAAAAAAAAAAUACAAAAAAUUAGCCUGGCGUCAUGGCGGGCACCAGUAGUCCCAGCUACUCAGGAGGCUGAGGCAGGAGAAUGGCGUGAACCCGGGAGGCAGAGUUUGCAGUGAGCUCAGAACGCACCACUGCACUCCAGCCUGGGCAACAGAGCGAGAUUCCGUCUCAAACAAACAAACAAACAAACAAACAAACAAAAAACAAAAAUAAAAGAGAGACAGAGUUAGUGUAACGAAUGCUACUAUGCUAUUAUAGAGGCUUUAAAAACUCUUAUGAGGACCCUGUACAGAGUAUUACCCCUCCCUGAGAAAUUCAAAAAAGACUUCACAGAAGAAAUGGUAUUUUAGCUGGGGCCUGAGAUUCAUUAGGAGUUUGCCAAUUGAAGAAAGGCAGGUGGAAUUUUAGGUGGAGGGAGGAAAACACAGAUAGAGUCUGGAUUUAACAACAAUUUUCCGUUGAAAAUAAAAGUUUGCAAACCUAAAAUUUUAUCUUAAAGAUAAAAUUAUCUACUGUUAGAUAGUAUUGAAAGUAACUUUGUAAUAAGAUUUUUACCAUUUGUAUUGUUUAUAGUCCAAAAGCUGGGUCCAUUGGUCCCUUUCCCGCCAAACGGGGUAUUGUCAUUAGGGUGACCUGCACCCUGCUGAAAGCAGUAUGUCUGAUGUGCAAGGCACAAAGACAUUGUUUAAAGAACCCUUAUGAUUUUGAACAAACUGGCCCAGCAGGGAGGUUUUAACCUGCUCACCCUAACACGCACAACAGCCUGUGUUUGUAAACAGAGCCUUAUUGCACUAGUGAGAGCAGACUCAGAACAGUGUCAGCUCAUUAAUUGGGUGUCAGCUCCAUGCUGAGAAAAAAGCUUAAUGAGUCAUCUCAUCAUAAAGAACUGUGGCUCAAGGGAGGGGUGAAUUUCUUAGAGAGAGGGGGAAAGAUUUGUCCGGCAAUAACUGCGUGUAUAGAAAAGCUUGAAGCCCACCUGCUGGGAUAAAGAGAGAGCAGCAUUUGGGAACGGAUGGUUUCUCUGCAUUCUGCUAUUCAAAGCGAAACCUGAGUUUAUGAGUUUAUAAAUGCAGCAAUUACCAGUGUGUAUAUUCAGAUUUAUUGGUAGUUUAAUAAAUUGAAAUCAUUUAAAAC